GGAUAUAUUGGAUAAGUGCCCCCAACGACCGAACCGGAAAAAAAUAAUACUUUGAAAGAAUAGCAACAACCAUAUCUCGUCAAUGAGAAUAUGACCUUGGUAAUUACCAAGAUAAAAUUAUAGCUGAUUCCGAGAAUUAAACUUUUCGGAGCCACAAACUCGAGUCACAA
RNAcentral lists this unclassified non-coding RNA (170 nucleotides) under Cylindrospermum catenatum CCALA 991. Its description in RNAcentral is "partial ribosomal RNA operon leader region". The record is from RNAcentral. Lineage: Bacteria; Bacillati; Cyanobacteriota; Cyanophyceae; Nostocales; Nostocaceae.